Long non-coding RNA from Diorhabda sublineata, 414 nucleotides. RefSeq lists it as uncharacterized. NCBI's taxonomy places the organism in Eukaryota, Metazoa, Arthropoda, Insecta, Coleoptera, Chrysomelidae. The transcript is spliced from 3 exons. The record is from RefSeq and is a predicted model, not a curated record.
AUCACCACAGAGAAGAAGAAGAAGAAAAUAUACAUAUUUUGAAAGUAAAAGAAAAAUCUAAAAUUUCUAUGAGGAGAUAUAUAAAAAAUAUCAAGAGAUAAUAAUUGUGUCAUUAGUUGUAGAUAUAACAUUCCAUUUCGUACAGAAACUAAUCAUCAAUCCAUGUCUUGUAAGAGUUUGAACUAUUUAUGUAGAAAUUGAUCCAAGUGGAUUCUUUUGUAAGUUUUUUUGAAAAACUAGACCAAAGGAACAUGGCUGAUUUGUUCUAGAUUACAUUAUAUCUGCUAGAUAAUUCGGAAAUUAGAAGGCUUUUAAAGAUUCAGUUGUACACACAUUAAAACUGAACUUCAUAUAUUGAAAUAUAAAUCGAGUCUGCGGAUAGAGACACACAAGAAAUAAAAUCCAUACUUCUCA